ACGCACGCUGGCGGCGUGCUUCACCCAUGCAAGUCGAACGGAAAGGCCCCUUUGGGGGUCCUCGAGUGGCGAACGGGUGAGUAACACGUGAGUAACCUGCCCUUGACUUCGGGAUAACUUCAGGAAACUGGGGCUAAUACCGGAUAGGAAUCCUUGCUGCAUGGUGGGGGUUGGAAAGCUUCGGCGGUUUUGGAUGGACUCGCGGCUUAUCAGCUUGUUGGUGGGGUAGUGGCUUACCAAGGCUUUGACGGGUAGCCGGCCUGAGAGGGCGACCGGCCACAUUGGGACUGAGAUACGGCCCAGACUCCUACGGGAGGCAGCAGUGGGGAAUAUUGCACAAUGGGCGGAAGCCUGAUGCAGCAACGCCGCGUGCGGGAUGACGGCCUUCGGGUUGUAAACCGCUUUCAGCAGGGGCGAAGCUUGUGGUGACGGUACCUGCAGAAGAAGCACCGGCUAACUACGUG
This 464-nucleotide ribosomal RNA is filed under the name uncultured bacterium. RNAcentral describes it as "partial 16S ribosomal RNA". It matches the Rfam family "Bacterial small subunit ribosomal RNA", at positions 29 to 507 of the family's 1533-position model. The record is from RNAcentral.